This 1158-nucleotide ribosomal RNA is filed under the name Escherichia coli. RNAcentral describes it as "partial 23S ribosomal RNA". It matches the Rfam family "Bacterial large subunit ribosomal RNA", at positions 1 to 1191 of the family's 2925-position model. Lineage: Bacteria; Pseudomonadati; Pseudomonadota; Gammaproteobacteria; Enterobacterales; Enterobacteriaceae. The record is from RNAcentral.
GGGUUGUGAGGUUAAGCGACUAAGCGUACACGGUGGAUGCCCUGGCAGUCAGAGGCGAUGAAGGACGUGCUAAUCUGCGAUAAGCGUCGGUAAGGUGAUAUGAACCGUUAUAACCGGCGAUUUCCGAAUGGGGAAACCCAGUGUGUUUCGACACACUAUCAUUAACUGAAUCCAUAGGUUAAUGAGGCGAACCGGGGGAACUGAAACAUCUAAGUACCCCGAGGAAAAGAAAUCAACCGAGAUUCCCCCAGUAGCGGCGAGCGAACGGGGAGGAGCCCAGAGCCUGAAUCAGUGUGUGUGUUAGUGGAAGCGUCUGGAAAGGCGCGCGAUACAGGGUGACAGCCCCGUACACAAAAAUGCACAUGCUGUGAGCUCGAUGAGUAGGGCGGGACACGUGGUAUCCUGUCUGAAUAUGGGGGGACCAUCCUCCAAGGCUAAAUACUCCUGACUGACCGAUAGUGAACCAGUACCGUGAGGGAAAGGCGAAAAGAACCCCGGCGAGGGGAGUGAAAAAGAACCUGAAACCGUGUACGUACAAGCAGUGGGAGCACGCUUAGGCGUGUGACUGCGUACCUUUUGUAUAAUGGGUCAGCGACUUAUAUUCUGUAGCAAGGUUAACCGAAUAGGGGAGCCGAAGGGAAACCGAGUCUUAACUGGGCGUUAAGUUGCAGGGUAUAGACCCGAAACCCGGUGAUCUAGCCAUGGGCAGGUUGAAGGUUGGGUAACACUAACUGGAGGACCGAACCGACUAAUGUUGAAAAAUUAGCGGAUGACUUGUGGCUGGGGGUGAAAGGCCAAUCAAACCGGGAGAUAGCUGGUUCUCCCCGAAAGCUAUUUAGGUAGCGCCUCGUGAAUUCAUCUCCGGGGGUAGAGCACUGUUUCGGCAAGGGGGUCAUCCCGACUUACCAACCCGAUGCAAACUGCGAAUACCGGAGAAUGUUAUCACGGGAGACACACGGCGGGUGCUAACGUCCGUCGUGAAGAGGGAAACAACCCAGACCGCCAGCUAAGGUCCCAAAGUCAUGGUUAAGUGGGAAACGAUGUGGGAAGGCCCAGACAGCCAGGAUGUUGGCUUAGAAGCAGCCAUCAUUUAAAGAAAGCGUAAUAGCUCACUGGUCGAGUCGGCCUGCGCGGAAGAUGUAACGGGGCUAAACCAUG